This 253-nucleotide ribosomal RNA is filed under the name uncultured bacterium. Its description in RNAcentral is "partial 16S ribosomal RNA". It matches the Rfam family "Bacterial small subunit ribosomal RNA", at positions 524 to 776 of the family's 1533-position model. The record is from RNAcentral.
UACGGAGGGUGCAAGCGUUAUCCGGAUUUACUGGGUUUAAAGGGUGCGUAGGUGGGUCUGUAAGUCAGUGGUGAAAUCUCCGGGCUUAACUCGGAAACUGCCAUUGAUACUAUAGGUCUUGAAUUAUCUGCAGGUGAGCGGAAUAUGUCAUGUAGCGGUGAAAUGCUUAGAUAUGACAUAGAACACCAAUUGCGAAGGCAGCUCACUACGGAUAUAUUGACACUGAGGCACGAAAGCGUGGGGAUCAAACAGG